GCGGAGGGAUCAUUACCGAGUUUACAACUCCCAAACCCCUGUGAACAUACCACUUGUUGCCUCGGCGGAUCAGCCCGCUCCCGGUAAAACGGGACGGCCCGCCAGAGGACCCCUAAACUCUGUUUCUAUAUGUAACUUCUGAGUAAAACCAUAAAUAAAUCAAAACUUUCAACAACGGAUCUCUUGGUUCUGGCAUCGAUGAAGAACGCAGCAAAAUGCGAUAAGUAAUGUGAAUUGCAGAAUUCAGUGAAUCAUCGAAUCUUUGAACGCACAUUGCGCCCGCCAGUAUUCUGGCGGGCAUGCCUGUUCGAGCGUCAUUUCAACCCUCAAGCACAGCUUGGUGUUGGGACUCGCGUUAAUUCGCGUUCCUCAAAUUGAUUGGCGGUCACGUCGAGCUUCCAUAGCGUAGUAGUAAAACCCUCGUUACUGGUAAUCGUCGCGGCCACGCCGUUAAACCCCAACUUCUGAAUGUUGACCUCGGAUCAGGUAGGAAUACCCGCUGAACUUAAGCAUAUCAAUAAGCGGAGGAAAAGAAACCAACAGGGAUUGCCCUAGUAACGGCGAGUGAAGCGGCAACAGCUCAAAUUUGAAAUCUGGCUCUCGGGCCCGAGUUGUAAUUUGUAGAGGAUACUUUUGAUGCGGUGCCUUCCGAGUUCCCUGGAACGGGACGCCAUAGAGGGUGAGAGCCCCGUCUGGUUGGAUGCCAAAUCUCUGUAAAGUUCCUUCAACGAGUCGAGUAGUUUGGGAAUGCUGCUCUAAAUGGGAGGUAUAUGUCUUCUAAAGCUAAAUACCGGCCAGAGACCGAUAGCGCACAAGUAGAGUGAUCGAAAGAUGAAAAGCACUUUGAAAAGAGAGUUAAAAAGUACGUGAAAUUGUUGAAAGGGAAGCGUUUAUGACCAGACUUGGGCUUGGUUAAUCAUCUGGGGUUCUCCCCAGUGCACUUUUCCAGUCCAGGCCAGCAUCAGUUUUCCCCGGGGGAUAAAGGCGGCGGGAAUGUGGCUCUCUUCGGGGAGUGUUAUAGCCCGUCGUGUAAUACCCUGGGGGGGACUGAGGUUCGCGCAUCUGCA
RNAcentral lists this ribosomal RNA (1067 nucleotides) under Fusarium sp. RNAcentral describes it as "eukaryotic LSU rRNA". The stretch from base 473 to 1067 matches the Rfam family "Eukaryotic large subunit ribosomal RNA", at positions 1 to 607 of the family's 3401-position model. Lineage: Eukaryota; Fungi; Ascomycota; Sordariomycetes; Hypocreales; Nectriaceae. The record is from RNAcentral.